This 388-nucleotide ribosomal RNA is filed under the name uncultured bacterium. RNAcentral describes it as "bacterial SSU rRNA". It matches the Rfam family "Bacterial small subunit ribosomal RNA", at positions 28 to 417 of the family's 1533-position model. The record is from RNAcentral.
GACGAACGCUGGCGGCGUGCUUAACACAUGCAAGUCGAGCGGUAAGGCCCUUUCGGGGGUACACGAGCGGCGAACGGGUGAGUAACACGUGGGUGACCUGCCCUCAGCUCUGGGAUAAGCCUGGGAAACCGGGUCUAAUACCGGAUAUGACUCCAUGACGCAUGUUGUGGGGUGGAAAGCCUUGUGCGGCUGAGGAUGGGCCCGCGGCCUAUCAGCUUGUUGGUGGGGUGAUAGCCUACCAAGGCGACGACGGGUAGCCGGCCUGAGAGGGCGACCGGCCACACUGGGACUGAGACACGGCCCAGACUCCUACGGGAGGCAGCAGUGGGGAAUCUUGCGCAAUGGGCGAAAGCCUGACGCAGCGACGCCGCGUGAGGGAUGACGGCCU